ACCUGUCACGUGACUUUUGGCACUAAUUUUCCGCCUUGCUGAUCCACACACACGCCUUCAGAUCCACACACAUGCUUGUAAAAUGGGAUGUAAUUCGCACUCCACAACAGCAGGUGGCGCUGUUACCGACUUGCUUGCCGCCGCCACGGACAUGGAAAGAGAAGAGAAGAAGAAACGCUAGCGUGAGGAGGGUGUUUUGAACACGAUGAGCGGCCAACAGCAUCCAGUGAUGAACUGAAGGCACUCAUGAAGUUCUGGGUUGGAUGGGAGGCUCCUACAACUACUCUCACGUUAGAGGUGACUGACUGUAGUCUGCCAAAGUCUUCCACGUGCUUCGAGACCCUCCGUCUUCCUGUCCGCUACAAAGACUUCACUGUAUUUAAGGAAGAACUGAUUGCCUGCCUUCAAACAUGUGACACUGGAUUUGGAUUGGUGUAAUGGCAAUGCUAAAAUGUAGCUUCUUUCAAAGGGGCAGUUCUCAUUCAUGUUUUUGUUCAGUGUUGGAUAUCAAAUUAAGACUACGCCCCUUUACCUCCACAAACAGUGUGCAAAUGUAUUCAAAGAAUUCAAUGAAUGUCUUCAUCUGCCUUUAUCUUUGAGUCCUUCUAUGUUUUCCCAUCACUCUAAAAUCUGAUGCAGGUCUUUAGUCUUUUUAAUCAUCUUUCUGACACCUUCAAAACCUUUUAUUUCAACAUUUCCCCCAAUGUGACCAUGUUGCAUUGUCUCCUGGGUUGUUUGUUGUUGUCAGUUAAACUUAAGUUUCUGUAUUUUUGUUGUUGUUGUUCAAACCCUCAAGAUGUUUUAAGAUUGUAUUGUAUUCACACUACAAUAAAAAGAAAACAAUC
Molecule: long non-coding RNA, 845 nt
Organism: Paramisgurnus dabryanus
Lineage: Eukaryota; Metazoa; Chordata; Actinopteri; Cypriniformes; Cobitidae
Source: RefSeq, a predicted model, not a curated record